Molecule: long non-coding RNA, 458 nt
Filed under: Phascolarctos cinereus (koala)
Lineage: Eukaryota; Metazoa; Chordata; Mammalia; Diprotodontia; Phascolarctidae
Description: lncRNA (ENSPCIG00000018259.2)
Source: RNAcentral
CCCUGGCUGACUCACCAUUCUGAAGUUCUGCCCAUGAAGGAACCCAGAAUGAGCGUGCCUGAAAAUAAGCAAUCUUCCCCUUCUGAUAUGGUGGUACAGGUGUGCCGAGACAGAGGUACCAGGCAUGGAACAACAUCUGGAAGUGGCCACUUCUGUGUACAGAAAACCCAAUUUGGCCUGUAAUUAUAGUCUCACCAUCAAGCCUACAUUGCAGUAACAAUUCAUUCUCCCAACUUCAAGAUUCCACAUAGUGCUGGACAUCCAUAGAGUCGAAGAAGAUCUGUUGAAUGUUUAUAGCUGCCAGUCUGCUCUGGCAGUCAGACCACCUUGGAUCAUUGCUUUCUCAUCCACGAAGUGGAGAAGGUCGAGUCGAUGAUGUUGAAGAUCUGUGGUCCUGGAGUUACCAAUCUAUAGUCCUUUGGCUUACAAGAAUAAGAAUAAAAACAAUUAAUGACAUC